Molecule: unclassified non-coding RNA, 1541 nt
Filed under: Daphnia pulex (common water flea)
Lineage: Eukaryota; Metazoa; Arthropoda; Branchiopoda; Diplostraca; Daphniidae
Description: lachesin-like, transcript variant X1
Source: RNAcentral
GGUGGCAGCAGUAUCGGUGCAUUCAAAGAACAAGUUUUGGGAGUGGCGUCUAAAUUUCUGUGUUAUUUUGAUCGAUUUUAAUUUGGUUUUUUAACAUUUGUUUUUGAUAAUGAUUUGGACGAGAAUAGCGGCCGUAUUGGUUGCCAAUUUUUUUAUCAUCGUUACUGGACAACGAUUCCCUACCAUUUCAUACAUCUCUCAGGAGAAAGUAAUUGACAUUGGUGGAUCCAUUGAAUUAGAAUGCUCAGUGCAAUACGUCAGAGAUUUCCCUGUUUUGUGGAUUAAAAUAGACAAUGUUGACCCCUCCAGGACCAUCCCACUUUCCACUGGCUCUAACCUUAUUGUUAAAGACAGCAGGUUCAGCUUGCGCUAUGACCAAGCCAGCUCCACAUACACCCUACAGAUCAAGGACAUCCAAGAAAACGAUGCUGGUAAAUACCAGUGUCAAGUCCUGUUGACGGUGACAGAGAAAAUCUCUGCAGAUGUUGCAGUCUCUGUCCGUAUCCCACCCAUCAUUUUUGACAAUUCCACAAGAUCUGUGGUAGUCAGCGAGGGAGAAGGUGUCAAACUAGAAUGCUAUGCUGGUGGAUAUCCAGCACCAACGGUAUCUUGGCGUCGUGAAAACUAUGCCGUGCUACCCACGGGAGGUUCCCAGUACCGCGGUAACAUUUUAACAAUCCCAAGUGUCAGCAAAAACGACCGUGGCACAUACUACUGCGUUGCCGAAAACGGCGUGGGUAAAGGCAAGCGUCGAAAUAUCGCAGUCGAGGUCGAGUUUUCACCUGUGAUCACAGUACCUAGACCCCGACUGGGACAAGCCUUACAGUACGAUAUGGAUCUCGAGUGCCAUGUCAUUGCUUAUCCACCACCGGCAAUCACUUGGUGGAAGGACGAAGUGCAGCUAUCGAAUAACCAACAUUACGCCAUUUCACACUUUGCCACUGCUGACGAAUUUACCGACACAACGUUGCGUAUCCUCACGGCCGAGAAGCGCCAGUACGGCAGGUAUUAUUGCCGUGCCGCCAAUAAGUUGGGCACCGACCAGGCCUCCGUCGAGCUCUUUGAGACGGAGAUUGGUUUUCGAAGAUAUCCGGUCCAACUUCAUUGGGCGUCAGAGAGCAGCAACCGAGCAACAUCCUUCGAUACUUUUCUCAGCAUUUGUAGCACAAACAGCUAUUCUUAUCUCGUGCGAAUCUCUUUCUCGUUCUUUUUCUCAUGUCUGAAUUGAUCGUCAACGCACUGCAACUCAAUCCCUCCAUUUAAUUUUUUAGUUUUAAUCGACAAGACAAACAAAAAUGUUAAACGUUAAAAAUAUGUACCUCUCGGGACAAUAGCAAACAACAUCAGGUACGUAUAUAGUAUAGGGUGUUUGCACACACACACAUUCCAUCACUUGUUGACGCUGGUUUAUUCUACCGUGUGUGUUUGUAACUGUGCAGGGAUUGUCUGUUAUUUUUUUAUUUCGAUCUUAUUUUUCAUUUCUUUUUUUUAAGCAUUAGUGCCACAACAAUCCUUUGAACAAAUAAAAAUGUACCAUAGUU